Molecule: ribosomal RNA, 585 nt
Filed under: uncultured bacterium
Lineage: Bacteria
Description: bacterial SSU rRNA
Rfam family: Bacterial small subunit ribosomal RNA
Source: RNAcentral
GACGGGUGAGUAAUGCUUAGGAAUCUGCCCAGUAGUGGGGGACAACAGUCGGAAACGGCUGCUAAUACCGCAUGCGCCCUACGGGGGAAAGCAGGGGAUCUUCGGACCUUGCGCUAUUGGAUGAGCCUAAGUCGGAUUAGCUAGUUGGUGGGGUAAAGGCCUACCAAGGCGACGAUCCGUAGCUGGUCUGAGAGGAUGAUCAGCCACAUCGGGACUGAGACACGGCCCGAACUCCUACGGGAGGCAGCAGUGGGGAAUAUUGGACAAUGGGGGCAACCCUGAUCCAGCCAUGCCGCGUGUGUGAAGAAGGCUUUCGGGUUGUAAAGCACUUUCAGCGAGGAGGAAGGCCUUAAAGUUAAUACCUUUAAGGAUUGACGUUACUCGCAGAAGAAGCACCGGCUAACUCCGUGCCAGCAGCCGCGGUAAUACGGAGGGUGCAAGCGUUAAUCGGAAUUACUGGGCGUAAAGCGCGCGUAGGUGGUUUGGUAAGCGAGAUGUGAAAGCCCCGGGCUUAACCUGGGAACGGCAUUUCGAACUGUCAGACUAGAGUGUGGUAGAGGGUAGUGGAAUUUCCUGUGUAGCGGU